Molecule: ribosomal RNA, 497 nt
Filed under: uncultured bacterium
Lineage: Bacteria
Description: partial 16S ribosomal RNA
Rfam family: Bacterial small subunit ribosomal RNA
Source: RNAcentral
GAUGAACGCUGGCGGCGUGCCUAAUACAUGCAAGUCGAGCGAACAGACGAGGAGCUUGCUCCUCUGACGUUAGCGGCGGACGGGUGAGUAACACGUGGAUAACCUACCUAUAAGACUGGGAUAACUUCGGGAAACCGGAGCUAAUACCGGAUAAUAUAUUGAACCGCAUGGUUCAAUAGUGAAAGACGGUUUUGCUGUCACUUAUAGAUGGAUCCGCGCCGCAUUAGCUAGUUGGUAAGGUAACGGCUUACCAAGGCAACGAUGCGUAGCCGACCUGAGAGGGUGGACGGCCAAAACUGAAAUUAGAAAAGGGCCCGAAUUCCAACGGAGGGAGGAGUAAGGAAACCUCCGGAAAGGGGGGAAGGCUGAACGGGGAAACGCGCGGGAGGGAAGAAGGUCUUCCGAACGGAAAAACUUGGUAAUUGGGAAGAAAAAAUGGGGAAGGAAACAAGGAAGGUUUGAAGGGUACUUAACCAGAAGGCAACGCUAACUUACUG